ACGAGUUUUUUUCGGUUGAUACCGGAAACUCCCACCCUUGUGUAUUUUCGUUGAAAAGCAGCUUCGGCGGGCCGUCAGAGAGCGUAGUGAUAUAUGGUCUUGACAUCGGCUCUAUGCGGAUUUGCGUCCGCCGAAGAACCAACUCUUUACAAUUUGAAGUCUGAUAAUCCAAGAAAAUAAAUCA
This 184-nucleotide unclassified non-coding RNA is filed under the name uncultured fungus. RNAcentral describes it as "sequence contains ITS1". Lineage: Eukaryota; Fungi. The record is from RNAcentral.